Molecule: ribosomal RNA, 255 nt
Filed under: uncultured bacterium
Lineage: Bacteria
Description: partial 16S ribosomal RNA
Rfam family: Bacterial small subunit ribosomal RNA
Source: RNAcentral
UACGUAGGGUGCAAGCGUUGUCCGGAAUUUAUUGGGCGUAAAGAGCUCGUAGGCGGUCUGUCACGUCGGCUGUGAAAUCCCGAGGCUCAACCUCGGGUCUGCAGUCGAUACGGGCAAACUAGAGUAUUGCAGGGGAGACUGGAAUUCCUGGUGUAGCGGUGAAAUGCGCAGAUAUCAGGAGGAACACCGGUGGCGAAGGCAGAUCUCUGGGGCCUAACUGACGCUGAGGAGCGGAAGCGUGGGGGAGCGAACAGG